Molecule: ribosomal RNA, 489 nt
Filed under: uncultured bacterium
Lineage: Bacteria
Description: partial 16S ribosomal RNA
Rfam family: Bacterial small subunit ribosomal RNA
Source: RNAcentral
AUUGAACGCUGGCGGCAGGCCUAACACAUGCAAGUCGAACGGUAACAGGAAACAGCUUGCUGUUUCGCUGACGAGUGGCGGACGGGUGAGUAAUGUCUGGGAAACUGCCUGAUGGAGGGGGAUAACUACUGGAAACGGUAGCUAAUACCGCAUAACUUCGCAAGACCAAAGAGGGGGACCCUCGGGCCUCUGUUCAUCGGAUGUGCCCAGAUGGGAUUAGCUUGUUGGUGGGGUAACGGCGCACCAAGGCGACGAUCCCUAGCUGGUCUGAGAGGAUGACCAGCCACACUGGAACUGAGACACGGUCCAGACUCCUACGGGAGGCAGCAGUGGGGAAUAUUGCACAAUGGGCGUAAGCCUGAUGCAGCCAUGCCGCGUGUAUGAAGAAGGCCUUCGGGUUGUAAAGUACUUUCAGCGGGGAGGAAGGGAGUAAAGUUAAUACCUUUGCUCAUUGACGUUACCCGCAGAAGAAGCACCGGCUAACUCCGU